Mytilus californianus (California mussel) is the source of this 6634-nucleotide long non-coding RNA. RefSeq lists it as uncharacterized. The transcript is spliced from 3 exons. NCBI's taxonomy places the organism in Eukaryota, Metazoa, Mollusca, Bivalvia, Mytilida, Mytilidae. The record is from RefSeq and is a predicted model, not a curated record.
UCAUCGUAUGGAUGGAUUUAAGUUAUAUGUGACCAAUACAUCAACUAUUCCACCUAAUGGUUAUCUAUGUUAUGAAGAUCCUGAUCCUGGUCUCCCAAACAUCACUCAGACUAUUCCCUGUAAACAACUUGGAAAAUAUGUCAUUUUUUACGAUGAUAGAGGAUCGGAUGAAGUUUGUACUAUUUUCGGACCUGUUGUUGAGUUAUGUUACAUUGCUAUCGAUGGAUGGCCAAAAGGUAUGUGGGGACAAAACUGUUCCAAGAAUGUUCAUCAAAGUGUAUAGACCUACACUGUCAUCCUGAAAAUGGUUCCUGUGUUUUUGGAUUUGACCCACAACAAUGUUUAAAUCAAACCUGUAAUAAUCACACAGAUACAUGUACUGUAGGAUGUGCAUCUGAAUUGUUAAGUCUACUCCCUUAUGGUUUAUAAGUAACAGCUAGAUACACAGAAAUGUUAUAACUCUCAUAUGGAGUCUCGAGAUCUCUUCUGCCAUACUUGAACAGAACAUUCAGAGUAUAAAUGAUCAAAGAAAUACAAUGUAAGGGAAAUAACUGAAAAAGGAAAAAAAUGUACAGUAACACAGGAUUAAUUACAUAAGCGUAACCACUGUUCGAAAAGCAUGUGCAAAAAAUGUUAACAUCAAAAGAUGACAGAUGAAAAAAAAGUACUAAAUUAAAAGGUCUUUCCACAUAAACGUGGACAGAACUAAUUAAUAUAUUGCUCUGCUAUCGUUUUAUCUACAUACACAAACAUAAUAAACUUUAUGAUAUAUCACCUACAUGUUUAUUUCUUUAUGUAUGUCGUUUUAUUGAGUUAUUUAUACAUGUAUGUGCUUUUUGCAUUGAUAUGAAAUUGUUACCUACAUUUAUUAUUUAUCAUAUAUUAUUAUAUUCACGUCUAUUUAUACAAAUAUGAAUUAUAGAUAUAUUAGUAUAUAACUACACUCAUGAUAUAUUAUGCAUAUACAAUAUAGACGCCAUUUCCUUAUGCGAUGUCAAUUACAUUUUAUGUCGUUGUUAUCUUAUUGCUAAAAAAUAAUGUUUGAAUGCUUUUUUUUUGUCUCUAUGUGUCGAUAGCUUGGCUUACUUACUAUUAAGUGUAAAGUGCUCAUCAUAACUAACAUAACCUUGUGAUUUUCAUAUGCACAUAGCGUAGAUGUGUCUACAUUCACUAUAAUGAGUUUCUGUUUUAUUUAUUGGUAUCUUCCAUCGAUUGAGUAUGUGUUUUUAGUUUUUACAGUCGACAUUAGAAGUAUAAAGCUUAUUUCAUAGUUGAAACUUUCUUCUUAAUCCAGUUAAUUCCUAUUUUUUUUUUUGGCAUAUCUUAAAUGAUCAAUUAUUGAAAAGGAGUGCAAUAUGUUCAUAAUGUCUUUAAGUUCAAAAUGUUGUUCAAAUUACAGAAAGGGUAACGAAAUGAGAGUAACAACGAUAACUCAUAAAUAUCCUUGUACUGAUGUGUAUGAUUUUAGAUCCUUUUAACAUAUAUUAAAAAAAGCAAUUUACUGUCGUAAAAUGCUCAUCGCAUCUAAUUAGUUCAGCAAAUAAGUAUUAUGUUUGUUUUGCAAUGUGACUUCAUAUUUUCAAAUAGUAUAUUUUCCAUUUAUGGUUAUUUUUUAUAAUAAGUAUCACUUAAACUAUUGCUAUUCUUGUUUUCUUUUUCUUUCUUGUUAUACCUGUAAAGUGAAUUAAGAUCAGUUAUCUUCAAAUGGGAAAGUCACAAUAUCUUUAUUACAGUAAUUCUACAAGAGUGUACAACUGAAAACCCGUCAUAUGGUAUUUGCAUCUUGAUAAUUGGAUCCUUUAAUUAUACAUCUUAUCAGCCCAUUGAUGGUAAGAAAUAAUGAUAAAAAAAUACACAUGGUAUUCCACAUGCUUACUUAGUAAAUACUACUAAAAGUUUUAACAAAUUCAAUAGUUUAAUACAAUAUCUAACUGUUUUACAAUGAUGGACAAAGACCGAUAUGCAUUGAAUGAAAAGACCAACAAACCUCGUCAAAACACUUUAUACACAACUAAAAGUAAAAUUAAAGUAACGAUGAACUUAGAUGUUCUUGAGGAUACGUAUGUCCUGGUACCUGUCAUGAUAUUCUUUAAAAGUUAAAAACUGUCGUUUAUCAUAUUCCUUGACAAUUUAUGCAUAAACGGAUAAUGUCAAUGGUAGCGUUUGAGACAUGGUUUUCUUGGAUUCAAUAAAAUUUGCAGAGAAAAGAAGAUGUUUUCCGUAUUUGUAUUUUUUCGUUGUCGGAUUUUUUGUUUAAUUGAAUACAUUUUGUAUUUUUUCAUGUUUUUGUUUUAUUUAGGAGGUGCGGAAAUAACGUCAAUGAACGAUUAAUUUAGCAAAAUAAAACACCAAAAGCUAGAAAUAUAAAUAUCAGGAUACGGUUUUCACGUUACUUAAGUAUGUGUAGAAAUUUAAUCCACCACAAUGAAAGAUCGUUCUUCCAUUCUACUCCAACUAGCAUACUUUGAAAGUAUUUAAAAUAUGUUGUAUUUGUAACCGUUUUUUGUGUCGAUGCCAGGUUAAACUCACGUAAAUAAGAUACCUUAAACUUUCUUAACUUAAACUAAUAAUAUGCACGUUAUAGAAUGCUUUCAUAGGAAAAUUGUUUUUUGAAAAAAGGAACUGUAUAAUGGAAAAGUUGAAAAAAGUGAUUUUUGUCGUCUAUUUAAAUCUUAAUUUCACGAUGAUGUACCAAAAAUAAAUGUCUCAAAUCUUAAUAUUUUAUUAGAUCGAUGUUGAAUAGACUGAAUACCUGCAUUUAGAGGUGUACAAUAAGCACCCAUUAUGAUUUCGAUAAUUCGACGAUACACAUUAUUUCCAAUAUAUAUAUUUACAAAUAUUGUAAAGCAAGAAAAUGUAAAUAUAGACAUGUCUGGGAACAAUGCUGUAUAUAUCUCUUAUGACUUACUGCAAAAGAAAAAUUCAGAUAUAGUUUUAGAGCAGCCUACAAAUUAAGUCUAUCUUUUAUUAAAUCGUAUGAAUUAAUAGUUUAUCAGGAAGAACAAGUCUGUCACCUAAGUAAAUUAUUUGUUACAUAUGUCUCAAUUUGGACGCUUGUUUUAUAUGCAGUUGCAUUGAUUUUAAUUGAAAACAUGAAACCUUUAAUUUAAAUGUUAAAAUGCGUUUAAACAAACAUUUAUUAAAUAACAAGCACUUAUUAAACAACGUGGAUAUGCAGGAAUUAACAACGACACUGUCUUUGCCGGACCUGAAAACUCAUAUUAACUAUAUCUGCUUGAAAAACGUUUUAUAUCAAUUAAAGUUUCCGAAAUUAGAACAGUUAUAAAUAGAAAUAAUGUAAUUAACGAUGCAGCAAAUGUGAGGAAUUGCUUUACUCUGAACCUGAUAUUAUGAAAAUGGAAAUAUACGCUGAAGUAAAUGUUUUCGAGUAGUUCGAGAAAUGCAGAUAAGAAGCUAGAACUAUUAUUAGAAUUUGUAAGUAUUUGAUAGAAAUCUAAAUCUUAAGUUUAUGGAUUGUUAUGUCAAGAAUUGUUGCGUCAUUACAGUAGAGGUAGUUGAUCUUUAAACCACAUCAUGCACAAAAAAAAAUAUAUGGAAAAAACUAACGUCUUAACACCUAGCGUAUUGCAAGUGUGUUGAAAACGAAUACAUAGAUCAAAACGUCUCUCUUUGGUAGUUUUUGUGGACUUGUUUUUCUUUUUGUCGUCUUUCAUUUUUGCCAAUACAUUGUCAUUUUGAUUGAUUCGAAUGUUAUGUAUUGAUAAAUAUUUACCUCAUCAUUCAAUAUGUUCUAUGUGAGUUAGCAACCUACAAAAAAACACAAAACUAAUACUCGUGUUGGACUUUUGCCACGGUUUUGUUUGUUUCUCUUUGAUUUCAAAUUUUCUCUGCGGUUACUUCCGCCUGUUUUUGACUUGUAAAUAUGCUUCACACGUACACUUCGUGAUGUUCCAAUAACCGACCAUUCAUCAUACAGAAGCAAUUGUGUAUCACUAACAUUCGAUUGGAGCUAUAUCCACUACUCCAUUUGAAACUGAAUUAUAUGUGUAAAGUAUGAUAGGUAAUAAGGCUAUAAAUUGCAACUUCCAUUGAUCCAAACAUUCAUCUCUCAUCUUAAAUAUUGUUUAUAGUAUAUGUUCAGACUUGGCUACGAGAUAACACUGCAACAAAAAAAAAAAGGGAAAAUCUCUUAUUUCUUAAAAAUUAUUGUUCUUACAAAGAAUAUGAUACUAUUAAUCAAGAAAUACAUUUGUCAUCAUAAACAGUGAAAAUCUUUAACUCCUCCUUUUUUUAAAGACCAUCCUUUUCAGAUGUGAUAAAUAUGCUUUGCCUAUUGCAGCAAUAAUUUUCAAAUAACUUUUGUUGCAUGAUGUCAACACUUACAACUACGAUUUUAACAUAUUUAAAUUCUGAACUUUGUGAAUUGUAUUUAUCAAAAACACGUAUUUACAGAGGAUUGGUGCAUUCCUAUUUUCGUUUUCAUAAUUCUGACGUCGCCUUUUCAACGCCACAGAUUGGAUCCGUUUACCAGGUAAAGUAAUGUUACGCUAUUCAUAUGCGUACCAAACAAUUACAUCAAAACCAAGGGAAAAUGGAAGAUUGAAAACAAAGUAUGGCGAUUUGAAUUAUUCUCGUGUAAAAAGAAAAGAAAUAUGAACGGUUGACAUACGUUUAAAAAUUCAUUUAAGCUCCAGAAUAAUUCAGCGUGGCCAUUCAAAAACCAACCAGAGGUUUACUUAUUAUUCAUUUUUCUUCGUAUUACCAAAUCCAUUGAAGGUCAACUUGUCUGAGGGAGAUACAACAUUAGCGUCUUUUUAAUUUCAAAAUUUGUAAACGGACAAUUUUUUUUAAAGGUUUGUUAUAAUUGUGGUCAGUAUCAAAGAACUGACUACUGACCUGAUGAUACCCUCGGGAACUGAUAGUCCACCAGCAGAUGUUUUAAGUUAUGUUCAGUAUUUCAGCUAUUUUUCAGACUUAUUCACCGCGGUUAAUUCAAUACUGUUCAAAACAUUCGCGUGCAGUUGAUUAAGUAAAAUGUGUUUAGUAUUGAUAAUUAAUUCUAUUUUAUAAAUACUUUUAAACGCAAUAGGUCAGUUAUAUUUAAGGUAUCGAAUGAUUAUUAUUACAGUGGUUAUCACUCAAACGGAUACAGCUGCACCUAAAUGCUUGGAACCAAUAUAAAAUUAUAGCUAGACGGUCAUCUCCAAAACGAGCAAACAUAUUAUUAAGAAACAACCGUAUGACUUACUUCUUGAAUCAUUCCGUUCGAAGGUUAUCUGUAUGUGUUUGUUUGUUUUGUUUAUUUCCUAAAAAAAGACCAUAUAAAGACUGCAAAAUGUACGAGUUGUAUAUAGAUUUUGGAGUUAACAGCUGUCAACGGAGACAAACUAACCUGCUAGCAAAGGAAAUUGUUUCAGGAACUUUGAAGAUUUUUUUUGGAAUUAUAACCUACUAUUAAGAAUUAUACUUGAAAAAUUAAUAAAUUAUUAAGAUACUAAGGUUGCAGCUCCCCCAGUCAAAGAUGACCGUAGAUAAAUGAGGCUUUUUCUUGUAUGUCAUCUUUACGUCAUGUAUGUUCUAAAGUUUCCAAUUUUUAUACAUUGCUGGCUUGGAAAUGUUUAGGUUUGAGCAUUCCUGAAGAAGGUAACAAAGAAAAGUUUGUCGGAAGAAUGAAAUCUAAUUUAUAAACUGUAGUUAUCAUUUACUGGAUGCUAUUAGAAUCCACUUCAUCAAGAUUCUAUGUUUUAUUUAUAUCUCUGUUUUGUGUUAAAGAAUAGCUAAAUACGUCUUUUCAAUUCAUCAUAGAAUUGAAAUCUGUUUUUUAUUUUACAAUUUAAACAAAAUGAAACAGUAACAAUUACAUUUUGCAUCAAAUACGGAAGCGCUUAUAUUAAAAAUGUAAUGGUCACCUAAUUCCAUUUCGUGCCAAUUUGAAAACGAUGUAUUUUUUAUAUUUUCUGAUUUCCGAAAUAAAAAAAAGCAAAUGUUUGUUGGUGGAGCAAAUAAUGCUAGUAAAAUCAUGGGCGACAAAUAUUGUUUUCAUACAAAAUAAAAGCAUAUGACGGAACGUAUAACAGCCUAUAUAAUAUCUAAAUAUUUUCAAGUGAAUUGUGAAGGCUGUCGGAUUAAUUACGACGCCGAAUACCUUUAAAUGGUUGACCAUAUUAACAAGGUACUAAAGGUUUAAAUUGAAUUUUCGUUUGCCUUUCAGGAAAUACACGUGUUACAAGUGUACCAAACAACUAUUUGAAGGCGAUUCGUUGUAUGUCAAUGUAUAAAUGAUAUUACAAGUUUUGUGACAUUACUUUACACUGACUGUGUUCCAACUCAGGCAUAUGACAGUUGUUUUCCAUUCGUUUGAUGUGUUUGAGCUUUUAAUUUUGCCAUUUGAUAAGGGACAUUUCUUUUUGAAUUUCCCUUGGAUUUCGGAAUUUUUGUUAUUUUACUUUUUGAAAACUCGACUAAAGGAAUUCUUUUUCAUUCUUAAUUGUCAAUGUCAUGCUUGUAUUCAUGUAUUGUACUAACAAAUGCUACCCAAAACUGAUUAUAUAAACGUUGUACUAGGUGUGAAAUCUGAAAACUAUUGCUAAACACAACAUAAAUGAGAAAAUGUAAAAUUAUGAUGUUUGUUUAAUUGCAUCCAGCACAUUGCUAAAUAAUUUGUAUUUAUUUU